CACACAUACAGACACACACACACAAUAAAUAUAUAUCUCCAGAUUGUACACAGCAUAUAUAAUGUUUAAUGAAACAUGUUAAAUAAAUAACUAUAAUGUAAUAGUUCUUAUAGGAGCUAAAUGUUAUAUAUUAAAGACUUACAUGAUGAAACUAUACAAUCCAUAUUAUCUGUCAAACAACAUGUAAAACAAACAGACCAUUUUAUGCAUUACGUAUAUGAAAUGGAAUGCCCUUCUUUUGAAAGGUCCAAGCUACUGUCCUGGAAUGCCAGCUCACCACCUGGUGCCCCCAAGGGAGGAGAGAAGCAGCCCAUGGUCCCUGGUCUCCCAAAGCUCAUGCUGCACCUCAGCCCUUGCUCCAUCCAGCCCUCUCCCUAACUGACAGAUAUCUUUGAGGAAAAGAUCCCAAAAGAUGAAUUCCUGACUGGGGUCAUGGAGUUAACAUUAUCUCUUACAGCGCCCUGCCGCGGAGAGUUAAGACAAGCCCUGUCGUCUGCGGGCUCUCACCUCAGAGUCAAUAUUAUCUCAGAUGGGCACAAUAGACUGGAAUGAAAAGCUAAUAUUGAACCAACGCGGUCCCUGCCGCGCCGCGCCGAUGCCACCCUUUGUCGCGCAGCCCCCGUAAAUCAGGAUGGGGUAUGUGGAGAGACUGACAGUUUUGAUGUGAUGAAGGAGGUAAAACUCAGUGGUCCUGCAUGUGCCUCCUGGAGCUGUGCAGAAUUCCCGAGGAAACGUUGACUCUCAACAGGAAUAUCAAGGGAGAUCCCGAGGCUCACGGCUCUCCGCUGGCAUCUGGACAGUGCCUGUCUCCUGCAGCCACCCCGGGCAGCAGAGGCCGGGACCAGCGUUGAGAUCCGCCUGCCAGGACUCGGCCCCUCGAGGUCGGCACCCAGAGCACCGCCCGAAGAGUUUGGAGAAGCGGAGUGACUGGGAAUCACAGUGAAUUACCGAACUUCCUAACUUGCCUCCCCGUCUCUGGUCACCUUUUGCCAGCCUUGGACCCGGGAGAGGGCUCACCCUUCGCCGGCAGCCGGCAGCGGCGCUUCCCGCGCGGCGCCGCUGACGCACAGUGAAGACUCAGAGCUUUGGCUGGUCCGGAGACUCCAAACCCGGGUGACCUGGGUAUGGCGCGGUGCUCAUGGGCCAGAGCGCACAAGGCUCGGGUUGCAAAUGCUGUAACUAAAAUGUGAUGAGCGCAAACAGUGUGCCAAGCUCACCUAUUCAACAACCAUUAAGAUAUUGAUAUUUCCUUUUCACGGAGGCGACAGCCAAGGCUGGAGAAAAUGGAAUCAUACAGCCCUGAACCCAGAGGACUCCUACGCACCCCCAGUCAGGGCCCACUCCAGAGCAAUGGGAGAGGGAGCGGGCCCUCGGGCGGCUGUUCCUCGGAAGUGUAAGGGCCAGACAAACUCCGAGCAGCGAGCAGCGGUUCUCAGAGCUCCCCAGGAAUCUCUGCCCUUUGUCGCUCCAGUGAGCUAGGACUCCAGGCUCCUCUCACCCUGGCACCUCCUAAAGGAACUUCAGGGCCUCUGCUGGAGCUUGGAGCAGCGUCAGACCGGCGUUAACUCAUUUGUACAACUUGAUUGUUCAGUCUUUGAAGACCAGCAUCUUGCCUUGUGUGGGUAGACAAUAACAGCCACAUCCAGGACAGGAGCUUUUACUGAAGAUCAUUAUGUGCCAGGCAUUGUCUGAACGCUUUAGUUUUUCUCAUUAAAUAAUUCCAAGGAUCGACAUACUAGUCCUUAUUCCCAUUCGAGGGAAGAAGAACAGAGGCACAGAGGGGUUAAGUAACCUGAC
This 1797-nucleotide long non-coding RNA is filed under the name Heterocephalus glaber (naked mole-rat). RNAcentral describes it as "lncRNA (ENSHGLG00000039687.1)". Lineage: Eukaryota; Metazoa; Chordata; Mammalia; Rodentia; Bathyergidae. The record is from RNAcentral.